This is a long non-coding RNA of Misgurnus anguillicaudatus (oriental weatherfish), 730 nucleotides long. RefSeq lists it as uncharacterized. Lineage: Eukaryota; Metazoa; Chordata; Actinopteri; Cypriniformes; Cobitidae. The record is from RefSeq and is a predicted model, not a curated record.
GAAAACAUCCAUCAGUAAACAUUUGAACAUAUCAGAGAUGGAAAGUAUAUCUACACACGCUUACUGAAACUCUCACAUGUGCUGAGACUAAAUUUGAGAUGUGCACAAAAACCACAUGUGAUUCUGUGAGAAUGAUAAUGUGUGGAUUCAUGUGGUUGACAUCAAGACGGUGAAAUAUUCUGUUUGCUUGUAUUAUAUUAUUUUUGACAUUUCAUCUGAGGUGGUGUAUGAGAUGUCUCACCUUCUCACAGAAUAAACACUCACACAGAGACGUCUGAAUGUUCAGAAGCUGAUGAUUAUUGCAGUGAGAGAGGAGCGGGUGUUUGUUUCGUACCUGCUCCAGGAGGAGACCGGUGUCCUGCUCCAGGUGGAGGGUCGGUUCUCGUAUCGCUCCAGAUCACAGAUGGUUGCUCGGUUCUGCUGAUGUCUGUGUCUGUACGGGGCACCGAUUCGGAAGUCUCUGGAUGAGCGACUACUGGUGAAUGACUACUGGAUGUCCAUUUAUCAUGAUGGUGAUGCUGGGAGUGGGCGGAGCGUGUGGAGUGGUGCCCCGCCCUCUUAUUUUUCACUAGAAAGGACCGUGGCAUGUCAUCAACACACUGUGACUUGGAACCAAAGCCACUUACAACAAAGUGCAGUGUGUCGUGUUUCCAGUUCCUAGAAAGAGACGUUCAAUGCGGCAAAGCCGAAAAACAAAGAGAUGAAGGUGAAACGAAAAGCCCACCAGGCC